AUACGUAGGGUGCGAGCGUUGUCCGGAAUUACUGGGCGUAAAGAGCUCGUAGGUGGUUUGUCGCGUCGUCUGUGAAAUUCCGGGGCUUAACUCCGGGCGUGCAGGCGAUACGGGCAUAACUUGAGUACUGUACGGGAGACUGGAAUUCCUGGUGUAGCGGUGAAAUGCGCAGAUAUCAGGAGGAACACCGGUGGCGAAGGGGGGUCUCUGGGCAGUAACUGACGCUGAGGAGCGAAAGCAUGGGUAGCGAACAGGAUUAGAUACCCUGGUAGUCCAUGCCGUAAACGGUGGGCGCUAGGUGUAGGGGUCUUCCACGACUUCUGUGCCGUAGCUAACGCAUUAAGCGCCCCGCCUGGGGAGUACGGCCGCAAGGCUAAAACUCAAAUGAAUUGACGGGG
Molecule: ribosomal RNA, 398 nt
Filed under: uncultured bacterium
Lineage: Bacteria
Description: partial 16S ribosomal RNA
Rfam family: Bacterial small subunit ribosomal RNA
Source: RNAcentral